Molecule: ribosomal RNA, 54 nt
Filed under: Thielaviopsis paradoxa
Lineage: Eukaryota; Fungi; Ascomycota; Sordariomycetes; Microascales; Ceratocystidaceae
Description: partial 26S ribosomal RNA
Source: RNAcentral
UAUCAAUAACGGAGGAAAAGAAACCAACAGGAUUGCCUUAGUAACGGCGAGUGA